GUCUAUGGCCAUACCACCCUGAACACACCCGAUGUCAUCUAAUCUCAGAAUCUAAGCAGGGUUGGACCUGGUUAGUACUUAGAUGGGAGAAAGGACUGUCAGAAAUAGUGAAGCAUCAGGGCAACAGGCC
Erinaceus europaeus (western European hedgehog) is the source of this 130-nucleotide ribosomal RNA. Lineage: Eukaryota; Metazoa; Chordata; Mammalia; Eulipotyphla; Erinaceidae. The record is from Ensembl.